GACGAACGCUGGUGGCGUGCUUAACACACGCAAGUCGAACGAUGAUGCUGGAGCUUGCUCCAGUUGAUUAGUGGCGAACGGGUGAGUAACACGUGAGCAAUCUGCCCUUGACUCUGGGAUAACUGCGGGAAACUGUAGCUAAUACCGGAUACUUUCACCGGAAGGCAUCUUCUGGUGAUGAAAGAAUUUCGGUCAGGGAUGAGCUCGCGGCCUAACAGCUUGUUGGUGAGGUAACGGCUCACCAAGGCGACGACGGGUAACCGGCCUGAGAGGGUGACCGGUCACACUGGGACUGAGACACGGCCCAGACUCCUACGGGAGGCAGCAGUGGGGAAUAUUGCACAAUGGGCGCAAGCCUGAUGCAGCAACGCCGCGUGAGGGAUGAAGGCCUUCGGGUUGUAAACCUCUUUUAGCAGGGAAGAAGCGAAAGUGACGGUACCUGCAGAAAAAGCACCGGCUAACUACGUGCCAGCAGCCGCCGUAA
RNAcentral lists this ribosomal RNA (484 nucleotides) under uncultured bacterium. RNAcentral's name for it is "partial 16S ribosomal RNA". It matches the Rfam family "Bacterial small subunit ribosomal RNA", at positions 28 to 523 of the family's 1533-position model. The record is from RNAcentral.